Molecule: long non-coding RNA, 3095 nt
Filed under: Medicago truncatula (barrel medic)
Lineage: Eukaryota; Viridiplantae; Streptophyta; Magnoliopsida; Fabales; Fabaceae
Description: lncRNA gene12604
Source: RNAcentral
GGAAAAUUUAAAUUUAGAUAGCCAAAUGAAAAACAAAACACCAGACCCAGUUUAAAGUAUAAUAAAGAUGGCAUUCCAGUCUUGUAUUGAAAACGCAAUAAAUAAUUUACCAAACUGAACUCCAGUAUUCUAGAAUAUGGUUCUAGAAUACAUAAACUACAAAAAGGGGGAAAACAUGAUUCAUGAAAAUGUAGCAUGCAAUCUAAUUCUCUUCUCAAUUCACUUCUUUCCUGCAUGCCUGUUUCUCUUCUUAGCGCCAGACUUUGCAACUCUGAGGCUCCUAUUAACAGCACUCAACCUUGCAAGAGCCGCCUUCUUAAGAUCAGGUCUGUAGUAGUUGUCUGCCACCUGUGGGACAUCACACAACCAAUAAAUCAAAUUAGCUCAUAGAUCAAGACAAUGAAGCUUUUUUAUGAAAUCCAAUAAUUCAUUAGAAGUACAAAAAGUUGUAGCCUAGACAACUAAGCUUAAACAAGAUGCAAAUUGAGAUAACAAAUUUGAACAGAUAUUAGAUUAAAACCAAUUAUUCUAAAACAAUUUGUUGGGCAGCAUUUGGGAGAGUCGUUUGCUGCAAAAUAAAGGAGCUUCUCUAAAUAACAAUAAAUUAAAAGAUCAACGAAGAACAUUUGAAUGAUCAAAUCUCAGAAGCCAAGCGUAACAAGUAAAUUUCAUUGAAGCAACCCACCUAGGGAACCUUCUUACAUGUUAAGAGCUCAUCACCGAUGGGAAACAUUCAAUCAUAUUAGCAGUGGUGGUUUAAAAUGAAUUUCGCUAUAUACAGAAAAAAUGCAAAAUAGCAUAUGAGGAAAAUAGUUUACUAAGACAGAUCUGCUCCGCUCGGACUAAUAACAUAAAUUAUGAAGAGAUCAAAAGGGCAAGUUCACAAAAUACUUAUUUAUGAUUAAAGCUCAGAAGCCAAGCGUAACAAGUAAAUUUCAUUGAAGAAACCCACAUAGGGAUUCUUCUUAUAUGUUAACGGCUCAUCCUUGCUGGGGAAAACCUAGUCUAUAGAGGUUCAAAAUAAUUUUAUUUUACACAGAUAAAUCGCAUGGCAGCAAUUAGGAAAACUAGAUCACCAGAUAAAAGAGAGACCAGGUUCACACAAUAAACAAGAGAUAAAAAGGUUAGAUUCAUUAAGAAAACUAUUUUCAAUUAUAAGAGGUCAGUAGGCUAUAUUCACAAAACAAGUUCUGAAUGAUCAAGCUCAGAAGCCAAGCGUAACAAGUAAAUUUCAUUGAAGAAACCCACAUAGGGAUUCAUCUUAUAUGUUAGAGGCUCAUCACUGCUGGGGAACACCAAAUCUUGCUGGCAGAGGUGCAAAAUGUUUCUAAUUUACACAGAUAAAUCACAUGGCAAUUCGGAAAAUCAGAUCACCAGAAAAAAGGGAUGCCAGGUUCACACAAUAAACAAAAUGACUAAGAUAAAAAGGUUAGAUUCGUUACGAAAAAUAUUUUGAAUUAUCAGAUGUCAAAAGGCUAUAUUCACAAAACAACUUCUGAAUGAUCAAAGCUCAGAAGCCAAGCGUAACAAGUAAAUUUCAUUGAAGAAACCCGCAGGGAUUCUUCUUACGUGUUAAUAGCUCAUCACCGCUGGGGAACACUCGUUGCACAGGUUUAAAAUGAUUUCAAUUAAACAAACAGAUAAUUUGAUUGGAAGCGGGGAAAAAUAGUUUAAGUGACAAAAGAGGGGCAGGCUAUUAACAGUGCAGGCAAAGAAGAUAUCAAAAGGUGAUAUUUAUAAAAUAGCUAUUAAACAAUCAAAGCUCAGAAGCCAAGCGUAACAAAUCAAUUUCACUGAAUAAACCCAACAAAUGGAUCCUUCUUACAUGUUAGAGGCUCAUCACAGCUAGGAAAAAUUUGAAGAAAUAAAGAUGGGUUCAAAUGGUUUCAAUUUAAAGCUUUUAUGUAAAUAAACCAUGCGUUUCCAACAGUCUUAUUUUUGAACUAAGCCGCUCAGCAGUAUUUCCAUUACAAUGCACUGAAACCAAAAUAAUUUAGCACCAACCAAUUCACAACAAUUUUCAACUAUUCAAGAUUUGACUAGAUAUUUAGCGCCUAGAAUGAGAGCGAUAUGAAUACAACUACUAAAUCAAUAUUGUGAAACAUGAAAACAACCAACUUAGCUGAAUUUUCCAACCACUAAUUCCACACAAAGAACAUUUACUAAUUGUUUCUAUAAAAAUUACCUGAUUUUGCACGGCUUUAGCCAUCCUCCUGAACUCUUUCUUCAUCACAGAUUUGUGAAGCAAAGCUGCAGGCUUGUUUUGCUUCCUUGGCUUGGUGGUUGCCAACAACACAGACUGAUCUUUACCAGCAGACUGAAUAGUUACAGUUUUCUUGUUGGCCAAACCUAUUAUACCAUAAUGAAAACAUAAACUAAGCUUCACUCACCAAAAAAAUAAUUAAAAUUGCAACUAUGAAACCAUCACACACAUGGCAUUAGCAUUAUUGAAAUCUAAAUCUCAACACCAACUUCACUAAUUUCAACAAGUAUGUCAGUUGAUUAAAACUUAGGCUUUUUAGAGUUUAUCUACUUGCAUAAGCAUUUGUUAUACUGUUUGGAAGAACUUAUUAACACAGUUUAUGGCUUGUUCAUGAGCAUUUUUCAGCUUACUUGAAUAAGCUCUUCGUGAUGACUUAUCAAAACAGCUUAUAGAUUAUACAAAAACAGCUUGACUUUAUUUUAGCUUAUCAUAUAGAAAUCACUUAAUCAUAAGCAGUUAUAUGAUAUAACCCAUUAUACUUUAAGAUGCAAAAUAAGCUGUUUAUCCAAAGAGAACCCUUUAACAACAAAAACAACAUUCAAAGAACAAAAAAAAAAUUCAUUUUUAUUACUACCCAUUAAUCAUAACAAUAUUAAAUUUACAAAAUGGAUUUAUAAUAGUUGAAUCAAAUCAAAUAAAGGUAUGAUUUUGAUACUAACUUACCAGAGUAUUUGUAGGAGUUAAGGUUGUAAAGAUUAUUGGGUUCUCUGCUGAAUUGAACACUCUGAGUGUUAUUUCCAAACUCUUUAACCAAAAAAGAGUUGUUCCUCUUCACGACCUCCCAAACAAGUGGUCCAGGUACUGUUGCCAUCUUCUUCUUCUUCUUCAACCU